AGAGUUUGAUCAUGGCUCAGGACGAACGCUGGCGGCGUGCCUAAUGCAUGCAAGUCGAACGCACUCGACCUUCGGGUCACAUGAGUGAGUGGCGAACGGGUGAGUAACACGUGAGAAACCUGCCCCGAAGUUUGGAAUAACUCAGGGAAACCUGUGCUAAUACCAGAUGCCCUCUGACUGUCGAAUGGUGGACAGAGGAAAGAUUUAUCGCUUCGGGAGGGUCUCGCGGCCUAUCAGCUUGUUGGUGAGGUAACGGCUCACCAAGGCAAUGACGGGUAGCUAGUCUGAGAGGACGAAUAGCCACACUGGGACUGAGACACGGCCCAGACUCCUACGGGAGGCAGCAGCAGGGAAUCUUGCACAAUGGACGAAAGUCUGAUGCAGCGACGCCGCGUGGGGGAUGAAGGCCCUAGGGUCGUAAACCCCUUUCAGCAGGGACGAAAAUGACGGUACCUGCAGAAGAAGCUCCGGCCAACUACGUGCCAGCAGCCGCGGUAAGACGUAGGGGGCGAGCGUUGUCCGGAUUUAUUGGGCGUAAAGAGCUCGUAGGCGGUUGCGUAAGUCGGAUGUGAAAACUCAGGGCUCAACCCUGAGACGCCAUCCGAUACUGCGCUGACUUGAAUCCAGUAGGGGAGUGUGGAAUUCCUGGUGUAGCGGUGAAAUGUACAGAUAUCAGGAGGAACACCUAUGGCGAAGGCAGCACUCUGGGCUGGUAUUGACGCUGAGGAGCGAAAGCAUGGGUAGCAAACAGGAUUAGAUACCCUAGUAGUCC
This 772-nucleotide ribosomal RNA is filed under the name uncultured bacterium. Its description in RNAcentral is "bacterial SSU rRNA". It matches the Rfam family "Bacterial small subunit ribosomal RNA", at positions 8 to 796 of the family's 1533-position model. The record is from RNAcentral.